RNAcentral lists this ribosomal RNA (890 nucleotides) under Botryosphaeria dothidea. RNAcentral describes it as "eukaryotic LSU rRNA". It matches the Rfam family "Eukaryotic large subunit ribosomal RNA", at positions 32 to 940 of the family's 3401-position model. The record is from RNAcentral. Lineage: Eukaryota; Fungi; Ascomycota; Dothideomycetes; Botryosphaeriales; Botryosphaeriaceae.
ACUUAAGCAUAUCAAUAAGCGGAGGAAAAGAAACCAACAGGGAUUGCCUUAGUAACGGCGAGUGAAGCGGCAACAGCUCAAAUUUGAAAGCUGGCUCCUUUGGAGUCCGCGUUGUAAUUUGUAGAGGAUGAUUCGGCAAGGGCUCCCGCCUAAGUCUCCUGGAACGGAGCGUCAUAGAGGGUGAGAAUCCCGUAUGCGGUGGGCUGCCUAAGCCAUGUGAAUCUCCUUCGACGAGUCGAGUUGUUUGGGAAUGCAGCUCUAAAUGGGAGGUAAAUUUCUUCUAAAGCUAAAUACCGGCCAGAGACCGAUAGCGCACAAGUAGAGUGAUCGAAAGAUGAAAAGCACUUUGGAAAGAGAGUUAAAAAGUACGUGAAAUUGUUGAAAGGGAAGCGCUUGCAGCCAGACUUGUCCGCAGUUGCUCAGCCGGUCUCCUGACCGGUGUACUCUUCUGCGGCCAGGCCAGCAUCAGUUCGGGCGGUCGGAUAAAGACCUCGGGAAUGUAGCUCCUCUCGGGGAGUGUUAUAGCCCGGGGUGGAAUGCGGCCAGCCUGGACUGAGGAUCUCGCUUCGGCUAGGAUGCUGGCGUAAUGGCUGUAAGCGGCCCGUCUUGAAACACGGACCAAGGAGUCUAACAUCUAUGCGAGUGUUUGGGUGUCAAACCCAUGCGCGUAAUGAAAGUGAACGGAGGUGGGAACCCUCACGGGUGCACCAUCGACCGAUCCUGAUGUCUUCGGAUGGAUUUGAGUAAGAGCAUAGCUGUUGGGACCCGAAAGAUGGUGAACUAUGCCUGAAUAGGGUGAAGCCAGAGGAAACUCUGGUGGAGGCUCGCAGCGGUUCUGACGUGCAAAUCGAUCGUCAAAUUUGGGUAUAGGGGCGAAAGACUAAUCGAAC